RNAcentral lists this unclassified non-coding RNA (323 nucleotides) under fungal sp. RNAcentral describes it as "partial internal transcribed spacer region". The stretch from base 1 to 46 matches the Rfam family "Eukaryotic small subunit ribosomal RNA", at positions 1786 to 1831 of the family's 1831-position model. Lineage: Eukaryota; Fungi. The record is from RNAcentral.
AAGUCGUAACAAGGUUUCCGUAGGUGAACCUGCGGAAGGAUCAUCACUAGUAUCUAAAUACACUCUGUGUUGUUGGUUCGGUUGUUUGCGUAAGCAGACAACUGGCAGACACACAGAACCAUUACCAUCUCGUGAACUGUCAAUGUCAGUGUUCAAGGCAGACUGGAAGUGCUUGUUAUUUGAUGUGUAAAUGUCGGAUGACACCUUCCAGCCGGCCGCCUGUCUAACAACAGACACCUGUUUUAUUAAAUGUCUAAGAAUCUCAAUCUGUGAAAGUUUAUUGAAUAUCAAUACAACUUGUAGCGAUGGAUCUCUUAGCUCUG